CCUACGGGAGGCAGCAGUAGGGAAUAUUGGACAAUGGACGCAAGUCUGAUCCAGCCAUCCCGCGUGAAGGAUUAAGGCCCUAUGGGUUGUAAACUUCUUUUCUUUGGGAAUAAAAAGCGGUAUUCAUAUCGCCUUGAAGGUACCAGAGGAAUAAGCACCGGCUAACUCCGUGCCAGCAGCCGCGGUAAUACGGAGGGUGCAAGCGUUAUCCGGAUUCACUGGGUUUAAAGGGUGCGUAGGUGGCUUUGUAAGUCAGCGGUGAAAGCCUGGAGCUCAACUCCAGAAUUGCCAUUGAUACUGCAGAGCUUGAAUCAAGUUGAGGUGGAUGGAAUAUUACAUGUAGCGGUGAAAUGCUUAGAUAUGUAAUAGAACACCGAUUGCGAAGGCAGUUCACUAAGCUUGUAUUGACACUGGAGGCGACGAACGACGGUGGGGUAGUACAAACAGGAGUUAGUAUACCUCGGUAGUCCACCGACCCUAAACCGACUAGCAACUACGACAUUAGUCGAUAUACUAGUUAGUGUCCGACGACGAAGACGUUAAGUUUAGUCCGACCGUGGUAAGGUACGACCGCGAGGUUAGUUAACGUUACGAAGAAGUUAGUUAGGCGGNGNGAGAGCGACGGACGGACCGACCGACGGGAGGGAGGAGG
This 652-nucleotide ribosomal RNA is filed under the name uncultured bacterium. RNAcentral describes it as "bacterial SSU rRNA". The stretch from base 1 to 556 matches the Rfam family "Bacterial small subunit ribosomal RNA", at positions 338 to 873 of the family's 1533-position model. The record is from RNAcentral.